Molecule: long non-coding RNA, 443 nt
Filed under: Solanum tuberosum (potato)
Lineage: Eukaryota; Viridiplantae; Streptophyta; Magnoliopsida; Solanales; Solanaceae
Description: long non-coding RNA (STUB_LNC010197)
Source: RNAcentral
GGCCGAGGUAUAUCACACUAAGGAGUCAUACACACAUGUUUACAUAAGUGAGAAAGCUAUUAAUGUCAACAUUGUACAAUUUACUAUGCUUGAAUUCAUCCAAAAUUAAUAAGUAAUUAAUCCUACAAAGUAAUAAACAAUGAAUAUAUCAUAAGAAAGGCAUGUUAUCACUGGAACAAGACAAACCGCUUGUUAUCACUAUUAAUCAAAUAGUUGACCGUAUGUUGACAAUAUGCAACUUGAAACGAGAAUCAUUUUUUAGCAGAAGAAAAGGUAAAAUUAAUGGCAACACAAUUGGAUAUGAAAAUCCAUGUAAAAUCACAUUUUGGCUUUGCAUUAAUGGAAAGAGCAACUAAACAUGAAUUGAGAUUUGAAAACAAAAGCCAUAUUUCGAAUGAUCUUAAAGAUUAAACUCCAACAGAACUGAAAUUUGAAAAUCAAUA